GAAACAUUAGAUAAAUAGUUAAAUCAACUUUCGUUUUAUAUUUCAAAAAUAUUUUAAAGUAUACUUAAAAAUUGCAUAUUUUAUUAUAAAAAUAUUAAAAAAUAUUUUUACAAAAAAAAAUUACAAAAUAAAUAGAACAAUAUUAUUAUAAACAAUAAUAAGAAAAAGUUAAAUACUAUUUUUUGAAUAUAGUAUUAGAAUUCAAUUUUUUAUAUUUUC
RNAcentral lists this transfer RNA (219 nucleotides) under Pneumocystis jirovecii. Its description in RNAcentral is "tRNA-Pseudo(TTT)". Lineage: Eukaryota; Fungi; Ascomycota; Pneumocystomycetes; Pneumocystales; Pneumocystaceae. The record is from RNAcentral.